UACGUAGGGUGCGAGCGUUACUCGGAAUUACUGGGCGUAAAGCGUGCGCAGGCGGUUUUGUAAGUCUGUCGUGAAAUCCCCGGGCUCAACCUGGGAAUUGCGAUGGAGACUGCAAGGCUAGAAUCUGGCAGAGGGGGGUAGAAUUCCACGUGUAGCAGUGAAAUGCGUAGAGAUGUGGAGGAACACCGAUGGCGAAGGCAGCCCCCUGGGUCAAGAUUGACGCUCAUGCACGAAAGCGUGGGGAGCAAACAGG
RNAcentral lists this ribosomal RNA (253 nucleotides) under uncultured bacterium. RNAcentral's name for it is "partial 16S ribosomal RNA". It matches the Rfam family "Bacterial small subunit ribosomal RNA", at positions 524 to 776 of the family's 1533-position model. The record is from RNAcentral.